AAUUAUUCACUUAACAUUUAACGAACACGACAAAUAAUAAUUCAAUAAUUUACAAGGUGUGAUUAACAAAUACCCCGAUUGAUUGUAUUAAAAGCAGUCUUUAUUAGAUAUCGGUACAAGCAAUUAAUUCCUUUCAAACCUUUUUGAGGUUAUACACUUAUGCCAACGUUUCUGUCAUUGAUUUUCUAAACGAAUCUUCCGAAAUACUCUUCAGACGCGUUAUUAUACUCGUUCAAUAUAUUUAAACAUCGUACAUUGCUUACUCCGUGAGAAAUAUUCUUUUAGCAACGUUUUUUUUUUUUAGCGAAACGUAGUUCUAUAGUUAAACAGUUACCUUAUUCAUUUGACAUGACUUCCUGCAGUUUCUGGCUCCUUUCACAAUUGAAAGUGUUAAUAAAAGGACGAAGAUUCGACGACAUUGAGACGAUAAAGGCGAAUACAAUGAAAUAUCUGAACAGCAUUCCGAAAGAUUAGAAAAUCAUCAAUGGGAGAAUCAUUGGCAUAAAUAUCCAACAAAGUUUGCCUUUAACAUAACCAGUUCGGGUAUUCUUUCAUCACAUCUUUUAUAUAUCAUAUACCUUAAAUUGUAGCUUAAUAAGCUUUAUUCUAAUUUUAUCUUGUUCUACUUUUUACAGAGAAAUUUUUGCAAGUAAGAAUAAAUUAUACAUCGUUAGAGGUGUGCGGAAUCAUGUCGAGACUUAGCUGAAACAAGUUAUAUCUCUAUUCUUCUAAUAUCCUAUCUAGCAUUUUUUCAUUUUUUCAGUUAUGUUGAAAUAUUUCCACGUGUUAACGUUUUAGGUAAAGUUAUACACGCUAAUAGGAAAUACUGAGUAGGUAUUUCAAAUUGAGUGAAGACCAAGAUGACAUAAACAGAAUGAUAAAACUUUGAUUUUCUUCAGUGUCUGAUAAAAAAAAGACGAAUGGUAUGCGUCAGUACUUUUUGUAGCAACUGUACAAGGUGAUUCAUAAAUGUAUGUCCAUACUUCAGGGGAUGAAUCUACACAUUAAAAUAACUAAAAACUAUGUCGUAUGAACAUAUGUCCUAUCAUCUAGAAAACUGUAACGAGCUAGCGAGAAUAGAAUACUGACUACCUGAAAUUUUAUUUCAUUCAUAUCAAUUGAUAUUGCUUCGCACAUGUUGCACUCUGACUGAACAGCUUGCAAGUUGGUUACUAUAUGAAUUUACUCACAAGACAACUAACAAAGUUAACUUCGACGAACAUGUUAUCUGUUUUGCUUUUACAAUAAACAACAGAUUUAUUGUAUGACAAACUUGAUAUUUGUUAGAUUCCCAACGAAUAGAUUCGAUACUUGCUAGAGUGAUAGAUGCUAAGUGUAACAGUUAGGAUAAAAGGUAACGGACCAAACUAUACUGUAGACUUUGUAGAGUGACAAAUCUCAGGAAGAUCUUUUUCACGAUUCGCGAAAAUUGGAAGAAUAGACAAUGCUGUUGGGAGUAACACGUGGAUUGGAGAAUUUGCAAGUUACGAAAAAGGCGGAAAAGGACGAUAAUUGGUUACAGGAAAGUUGGUGAAAAUGAACUCUGUCUACUGGUCAUCCUCAGUUAGCGAUUGACUUAGGUCGACGUGCGUGACCAAAAGUACUUUACAUAUCGUUAUACACGUAGAAGACAUAAUACAGUAGAUUCAAGAUACGAAUCUGUGCAAAAAAAGGAACAGAGAAAAGAAAAAGAGUACACGUUCUUCAUAAGAAAAUGAAAAAAAGAUGUUUGGCGUCAAGCUAUUCAACGAGCUUACAAGGAUAAACCGAAUAUCGAACGAUCGGAAUGCUGACGUGCAGACGUGCUAUUUUUGGAAAUAGCUUCAGUCAAAAAAUGCUGGAAUCAAUUAUUCUAAGAGUCAAGAAGUAGAAUUUGUUUUACCACAGCAACUUCUGUAUCUCUGUAGAGCACGUGUAUUGCUAGCAUCUUCGUUCUUCAUAUUUUAUUUUUUGACCUAAAUCUUCCUUUGAUUCGAUGCAAAAUUUUGACCUCGUUGAUUCAUUGAAUUCAGUAUGAAUUUUCUAAAAAAUUUCUUUGAUCAAUAUUUCACAUACGAGACACAAAUAACAUCGCUAUUUAAAAUGCUAUGCCACGAACGAUAAGAUUAAUUGUGCCACAAAAAAUGAUUCCUAAAAUCUCUUCUUGCAUUUUCUUAAAAGACAUAAUUUCUUUUUUAACAUAGUAUCCGUGAGAUCUUAAAAUCUACUCGACCAAUUGGUUUAAAAUUUGGCGUGCACUUUCAGCCCGCGUAUCACUAUAGUUUGAAUUAGAAUAAAUUUAGUACUUUUCCUUUUUUUCUUUUUGUACCCCUAAAGGUUGAGUUAACAUUGAGUUAACAAAAAUAUCGUGUAACAUGCUUUUUGAGUUUGUCGGAAAGUUCACUCUAAUCUCGCGAAAAAGACAUAUGAUCCUAUUUAUGUUACCCAAGGUGACCUUGGUUUCGAUAUAGAAACAAAGUAUUUUCGCAAUUUUUUUAUUGUCGCUUAUAGUACACUCGACAUCGGUAAAGUACAUGAUAAAAGUUAAUGUUUAUUUAAAUGGAAGCCAGUUAUCAAUAAAUGUCAAAGAAAUUUCUCAAAAAGUGAAGUGAUUAGAAAAAAUUUUUUUCUAUCAGUAAUCAUUAUCAGUAACCAUAUAUAACCAUAAAAAAUAUUUUUGACUAUCACCAACCAAUGUCGACGACAAACAUUUUUCUACUCAUAUUUGACUAUUGUCUAUUGUUAUAAUAUUAAUUAAUAUUAAUAACGAUUAGUAUAUUAAUACAAGCGUUAACAAAAGUAUUGUACUACAAUAUAUUUUAUUAUCACUAUUAUAAAUAUCUAAUAUUCAUAUAAAUAUCUGUUACAU
Molecule: long non-coding RNA, 2848 nt
Organism: Bombus pyrosoma
Lineage: Eukaryota; Metazoa; Arthropoda; Insecta; Hymenoptera; Apidae
Exons: 3
Source: RefSeq, a predicted model, not a curated record